This is a non-coding RNA of Chlorocebus sabaeus (green monkey), 761 nucleotides long. The record is from RefSeq and is a predicted model, not a curated record. Lineage: Eukaryota; Metazoa; Chordata; Mammalia; Primates; Cercopithecidae.
UAUGUCUCUACUGGAACAUGCUGCUUAUAGUACAUUAGGAAAAAUCAUCCAGAACUUGGAAAAGGGGCUGGACAGACACAGCCUUUCGAGGUUGUCUGAUGAACCCCUGGGGUCUUUAACCAUCUGGAGGGAUGUACUAUGUCAGACUCACUGUUGUCAACCAGCUGAAGCCCAGGUUUCAUGAGGUUAUGUGUCAACUUGUAGUCCUUUCUCUGGCAGAGAUGCGAGUGACUUCUGCUCAGUGAGAGGCUCAUCUCAGGGACUUCAUGGCCUGAGGGACGGCAGCCUGUUUGAGCUGAUCGAGCAAUCUCGCGCUACCCUUCUUUUCUGAAACGCCUAUGAGUUUCACACUUUAAAGACGAGUUCUCACACGGUCUUUAAAGCGGCUUCAUGCCCGCGCUCCUUGGUAAUGAUUGAAUGCUUUUUAUGACCCCUUGUCCCCUUUCUUUGGGGUGUUCCAGUCUCAGUUCUCAUGAUGUGUUCUGCUUCUGCAGGAAUUUCUGAAGCUGCUGAGUGUAGAAAGCACUGAGGAGGCUGUGCUCCCACCCCUGUGAGUCUUCCAGGCAUGAUCCUCUCCCCUCGGCGAGGCGGCGUCCAUGGCACACCGAGGAGGCUGUGCUCCUGUCCCCCGUGAGCUUUCCAGAAGUGAGGGUGAACGCUGAGUUAUUCACGGGAGUCAAGAAACCACACGCAGCCCAAAGUGACGUUUGUUUCCCUGAAAUGAUUUGUGUGUGUUCACCUUAAAAUGCAACUCAGUAAAA